Molecule: ribosomal RNA, 405 nt
Filed under: uncultured bacterium
Lineage: Bacteria
Description: bacterial SSU rRNA
Rfam family: Bacterial small subunit ribosomal RNA
Source: RNAcentral
GGGGAAUAUUGCGCAAUGGGCGAAAGCCUGACGCAGCAACGCCGCGUGAGGGAUGAAGUACGUCGAGAUGUAAACCUCUUUCAGCAGGGACGAAGCGAAAGUGACGGUACCUGCAGAAGAAGCGCCGGCUAACUACGUGCCAGCAGCCGCGGUAAUACGUAGGGCGCAAGCGUUGUCCGGAUUUAUUGGGCGUAAAGGGCUCGUAGGCGGUCUGUCACGUCGGAUGUGAAAACUCGGAGCUCAACUCCGGGCCUGCAUUCGAUACGGGCAGACUCGAGUUCGGUAGGGGAGACUGGAACUCCUGGUGUAGCGGUGGAAUGCGCAGAUAUCAGGAAGAACACCGAUGGCGAAGGCAGGUCUCUGGGCCGAUACUGACGCUGAGGAGCGAAAGCGUGGGGAGCGAAC